RNAcentral lists this ribosomal RNA (429 nucleotides) under Gemmatimonadota bacterium. RNAcentral describes it as "Gemmatimonadetes bacterium partial 16S ribosomal RNA". It matches the Rfam family "Bacterial small subunit ribosomal RNA", at positions 355 to 776 of the family's 1533-position model. The record is from RNAcentral. Lineage: Bacteria; Pseudomonadati; Gemmatimonadota.
UAGGGAAUCUUCGGCAAUGGACGAAAGUCUGACCGAGCAACGCCGCGUGAGUGAAGAAGGUUUUCGGAUCGUAAAACUCUGUUGUUAGAGAAGAACAAGGACGUUAGUAACUGAACGUCCCCUGACGGUAUCUAACCAGAAAGCCACGGCUAACUACGUGCCAGCAGCCGCGGUAAUACGUAGGUGGCAAGCGUUGUCCGGAUUUAUUGGGCGUAAAGCGAGCGCAGGCGGUUUCUUAAGUCUGAUGUGAAAGCCCCCGGCCCAACCGGGGAGGGUCAUUGGAAACUGGGAGACUUGAGUGCAGAAGAGGAGAGUGGAAUUCCAUGUGUAGCGGUGAAAUGCGUAGAUAUAUGGAGGAACACCAGUGGCGAAGGCGGCUCUCUGGUCUGUAACUGACGAUGAGGCUCGAAAGCGUGGGGAGCAAACAGG